UCAGGUUAUACUGUUAUAUGGGCUCCAGCCCAUGAUGAAAAUAAGAGGCCCAAUAGGGUAAAAUUGUUGGUAAUGUGUAUAUAUCCAACAAACCGUGCUGUGCAUUAGAGAAAAACUGGAACAAGAGGUUGCUGUGAGAAAGAGACACAAAGUUGUCUUAGAAAAGCCAAAAACGGAGGCUUUCCAUUUAGAGGUCAAAAAGGGCUGCUGGAGAGGAAAUAAAAAAGGGAGAAAAUGAUUUUUUCUUCU
Molecule: long non-coding RNA, 249 nt
Filed under: Olea europaea subsp. europaea
Lineage: Eukaryota; Viridiplantae; Streptophyta; Magnoliopsida; Lamiales; Oleaceae
Source: RNAcentral